CUCUCUGAACAAUGAAUGUAA
This 21-nucleotide microRNA is filed under the name Danio rerio (zebrafish). Its description in RNAcentral is "Dre-Mir-181-P2c1_3p* (star (passenger))". Lineage: Eukaryota; Metazoa; Chordata; Actinopteri; Cypriniformes; Danionidae. The record is from RNAcentral.